GAUGAACGCUGGCGGCGUGCCUAAUACAUGCAAGUCGAGCGAACGGACGCGAAGCUUGCUUCUCUGAUGUUAGCGGCGGACGGGUGAGUAACACGUGGAUAACCUACCUAUAAGACUGGGAUAACUUCGGGAAACCGGCGCUAAUACCGGAUAAUAUUUUGAACCGCAUGGUUCAAAAGUGAAAGACGGUCUUGCUGUAACUUAUAGAUGGAUCCGCGCUGCAUUAGCUAGUUGGUAAGGUAAAGGGUUACCAAGGGAACGAGGCAUAGCCGACCGGUGUGGGGGAUAGGCCACACUGGAGCGGGGACACGGUCCAGGCUCCUGCGGGAGGCAGCAGUAGGGAAUCUUCGGCAAUGGGCGGAAGCCUGACGGAGCAACGCCGCGUGAGAGAUGAAGGUCUUCGGAUCGUAAAACUCUGUUAUUAGGGAAGAACAGAUGUGUAAGUAACUGUGCACAUCUUGACGGUACCUAAUCAGAAAGCCACGGCUAACUACGUG
Molecule: ribosomal RNA, 497 nt
Filed under: uncultured bacterium
Lineage: Bacteria
Description: partial 16S ribosomal RNA
Rfam family: Bacterial small subunit ribosomal RNA
Source: RNAcentral